This 570-nucleotide ribosomal RNA is filed under the name Triticum aestivum (bread wheat). RNAcentral describes it as "partial small subunit ribosomal RNA". Lineage: Eukaryota; Viridiplantae; Streptophyta; Magnoliopsida; Poales; Poaceae. The record is from RNAcentral.
AUGGAGGGGUUUGAGGAGGUUGUGGGGGCUCCCUGGGCCUCUCCGGUGAGCUCACGCGACCCCUUUCUCAUCCUGCAACAACGGCUGCAGAACACUGGCAAAGCGCUAAAAAGAUGGCACUCUCAGCAUUGCUCUCACCUGACGAAGACACUUGAUAUUGUCAAUGAAUUAAUAUUCAGACUUGAUGCCGCAAGGGAUGUCAGACAGUUAACGCCACAGGAACACCGUUUCCGAAACUUCCUGAAGGUCCGGUGCCUUGGGAUUGCGGCGUUGGAAAGAGCAAUGUGGAGGCAACGAUCUAGGGUGACUUGGAUUAGGCUUGGUGACGCUGGGCAGGAGGACAAACUGAAGAUCGCAUGGGAUUUCUUCAACACCCUGAUUGGAACUCCUAAAGAGCGGGCCGCAGCCAUCAAUCUUCAAGCACUCGGGUACACACCUAUGCUGCAGCACCUGGCCGGCCUUGACGCCCUUAUUACCGAAGAGGAGGUGUUUGCAACCAUUAAUGAUAUGGCCAUGGAAAAGGCACCUGGACCUGAUGGAUACACCAUGUUGUUCUUCAGAGCAUGUUAG